This 180-nucleotide ribosomal RNA is filed under the name Staphylococcus aureus. Its description in RNAcentral is "partial 16S ribosomal RNA". It matches the Rfam family "Bacterial small subunit ribosomal RNA", at positions 1 to 174 of the family's 1533-position model. The record is from RNAcentral. Lineage: Bacteria; Bacillati; Bacillota; Bacilli; Caryophanales; Staphylococcaceae.
UUUUAUGGAGAGUUUGAUCCUGGCUCAGGAUGAACGCUGGCGGCGUGCCUAAUACAUGCAAGUCGAGCGAACGGACGAGAAGCUUGCUUCUCUGAUGUUAGCGGCGGACGGGGGAGUAACACGUGGAUAACCUACCUAUAAGACUGGGAUAACUUCGGGAAACCGGAGCUAAUACCGGAU